This 372-nucleotide ribosomal RNA is filed under the name HMWdDNA-degrading marine bacterium 51. Its description in RNAcentral is "bacterial SSU rRNA". It matches the Rfam family "Bacterial small subunit ribosomal RNA", at positions 86 to 471 of the family's 1533-position model. The record is from RNAcentral.
AGAUGACGAGCGGCGGACGGGUGAGUAAUGCUUGGGAACAUGCCUUGAGGUGGGGGACAACAGUUGGAAACGACUGCUAAUACCGCAUAAUGUCUACGGACCAAAGGGGGCUUCGGCUCUCGCCUUUAGAUUGGCCCAAGUGGGAUUAGCUAGUUGGUGAGGUAAUGGCUCACCAAGGCGACGAUCCCUAGCUGGUUUGAGAGGAUGAUCAGCCACACUGGGACUGAGACACGGCCCAGACUCCUACGGGAGGCAGCAGUGGGGAAUAUUGCACAAUGGGCGAAAGCCUGAUGCAGCCAUGCCGCGUGUGUGAAGAAGGCCUUCGGGUUGUAAAGCACUUUCAGUCAGGAGGAAAGGUUAGUAGUUAAUACG